CUCCCAGUCUUCUAGCCUGUGUUCUUGUUUUUCUCUGCUCAGCUUGUAUUGUCAUUGCGAUGUACACAAGCAGCUUUGAGUCUGUUGUUUGCAUAAUCUCCCAUGGCACCUUCCUCACAGUCCUUAGUCUUAUCUUCACAGCAGAACUAUGCCAUCCAGUUUUUCUGUUAGUCUCAGGGUACCAAAGAGGGCUGCUCAGAACUAUUCAGCUGAUACUGUUCAAAAAUUGCUGUUUGACUUCAGUUGCUUGACAGUUAACCCCCACUGCCUGUUGAUUUAUUACCCUGUAACAUGUUUUUCAAAUCUCUACAAAUAUUAGUUGUUGGAAACUUGUAUUCUUUUUCUUCAACUUCCACGGAUGGAGUUUAUGUUCUCUUUAAGGAGCACAUAUUGAAAUGAACUCUUCCAGUUUCUCCAACACUUGUAUGCUUCUCCCUACAAGAGAAGAACGUAUUAACUGAUUGGAGAGAUUGCUGGGAGCAUGGCAUCCACAAAAAGCAACAAAGUGUAUAGUGGUUAACUAUCCAGCUCAGGAGAGACAGCAUACUAAAUUUGUAAUCCCAGGUCUGUCACUUAGCCUUUCCAAGUCCCACUUUUCCCAUCUGUGAAAUGCUAUGAUUAUCAUACCUGCCUCAUAGAGUUGUAAUGAGGAUAUUGCUCAGCAUAAAGUAGCCACUCAGAAAUGCUUGACUGGCUGCAUUAAGAGUGGAUGGGGUUACCCCUAGUGACCUGGCCACCCCAUGGGGUGGUUCUCAGUCUAUGCUGCUUAUUGGAAUUGCCUAGAGAACUUCAGAAAAUACUUGUGCGCUAGAGAUUCUGAUUCAGUCGGUCUGGGGUGUAGCUAGGUCACUGAUAUUUUUAAACCUUUCCAAGUGAUUCCAGUGAGUAGCUAUGUUUGAAAACUGUUUGAAAGCUACAUUUGAAAGCAAGAAAUAGGAUUCUCUCUUCUUGGCAGAUUGUUACAAAGAGACAGUGGGCUCUGUAGAGUAAACAGACCUGGCAUGCUGCCUGCCUUCUAGAAGCUAUUUCUUUCCCGUGCUUUCAGGCACUCUCUUCUGCUGACAUCUGGCUCUUUGAGAUGGGCCCCAAUCCAUCACACCACUGCUGGCUGGAGAUGUACCAAGAGUCUACCUGCAGCCCAGGAUACUCCAGUGGUUGGUCGUAAGGUUCAGAUUUGGCCGGAGGUCUGCACCAGUGUGGGAUUUUUUGGUCUUUCAAUGAUUUUGUGCUCUGAAGUUCUUGAAUGUGGAAAACAGGAAAGUCCAAGUUUGAAAGUGACUCUGUUUAAACUCCAUGGAUCUGUUCUUCCCAUACCUCAGUAAAAUCUCGGGUAGGUCUUGGGGUUACUUAAUAAUUAAGAAAGUAGUUCUUUCUGACAGCAGCAUGAAAGAGUUCAGUCCUGUCUGAUAAUCACAUUUCAGGCCAGUUAGUGAAAUAUUAAAACUAAAACACCAUUCAAAGUUAAAACUCCAUUCUCCCUUGGCUUAGUUUUGCCUCUGGCUGGGAGGUCUGAGACUUGAGCAGCUGCUUCUCUCUGUCCUCUGUCACUUUUUCCUGAGACAGUGACUCCGCUGUGGUUAACACCUGGGAAGAGUGGAUUAGGAACACGUACGGUUUGUGUGGCUGUACCAGUUGACCUCUGACCUGGGGCUGCAGAGGCCCAUGCAUGUUGCUGCUUUCUCUCCUAGGGGCCACUUUGGGGAGUUUCUCAGAGACCCCCUGCUCUGCAGACUUUCAGACUGCAGUUCCUUUAGCAUGAGAAGUCAGUGUCUCUCCUUCAGCUGUCGGUUCACCCCUCCCCCCUCAGUGUCCGGGGUGCUGGCCGGCUGGCUCAUCUCCGUUGGGGUCCUAGCGCUCUCGGGUUGUUCAGGAGUUCUCAUUUACUAGGAUCCCAGGUCAGCUCCUUCUGGGGGGAGGACAUCUAGUCCCCAGGAAACAAGAAGCGCUAAUGAAUAAAUACCUGGAUGGUGGGAAUGCAGGUCUCUCCCAACUCAAACUGGGGUCUCGUUGCUUUGCUGCAUCAGUCCCAUCCAGCCAAGCCCUUACAGCUUUUAGCUUUUCAAGGGGGAGUCAGAUAUUCUUCCCUAGGUUUCUCGAGCUCCAGUGGGCAUGUGCCCAGCUCCCUGAGUAAAGCCCCUCUCAAGUGACUAAGCCCAGUGAGGGGGGCAAGCCCCUCCCACCACAAUGGGUGGGACUUGGGGAAGCCCAGAGCCUUCAGCUUGUCUCUCCAGAGAUGUCUGCCUUCUAUUUCUCCAAACUCUCAUGAAUCCCCAAGGCUCUCAUAAAUCUUUGAGGGGAGUUAUGAGCUAAAAGUCACAAGAUCUGUUUUUAGACCACCCCCUGCAAAUCCUGCCCAGGCGUCCAACAUCUCAGUUUAUUUUUAUUUUUUAUUUUUUUUAU
Kogia breviceps (pygmy sperm whale) is the source of this 2400-nucleotide non-coding RNA. Lineage: Eukaryota; Metazoa; Chordata; Mammalia; Artiodactyla; Physeteridae. The record is from RefSeq and is a predicted model, not a curated record.